CACCCCACUCCCCACGAGCCCACCUCCCCCGAUCCCAUCUGGCCACUGCCUCCCUCCUGCCCCACGCCAGCAACCGCGCCGCCGCCGGGCCCCGGCCACCAACAGCCCCGCCGCCCAGCCCAACUCCGGCGAAACCCAUGUCCCCGGUGUGCAUCCGAGGCCCCGCGCCACCUUCAGGACACUCUCCAUGGUGGAGAUCCCCUGCCCCACCGCUUGUUCCUCCACGCACCCUGCUUCCUUCCGGGAUCCGUCGCCACCACGCGGCGGCGAACUCCCCCGGCAGGGAUCCACUGGGGACGGCGGCGUCCCGAUCCCCUGCCGCGGCCAACGACCUCCUGCUCCGCCCUUGCUGUGAUGGCCGCCGCCGGCCUUCCUCCGCGCUGGAGCUGCCCGUCCCCUACCUCCGGACGCUGCCUUGGUCUCCCCCACCUUCGGCAGUAGCUACAACGUCGGACAUCUCCUGCAGUGGAUCAGGUCAUUGACCACCGCCCGAUGCGGCGUCGGACUAGCGGAUCCACGCUGCUCCUCCACCUCCCGACCAAUGCCCCCGGCCCGUCCUGCUGCUCACCUCCUCCUCACAUAUGCAUCAACAAAACAUGGCAGCCGCUGCAGUCCACAUCGUUCAACAGUAGCAGGUCAACUCCUCCAAGGUCACACAAGCUCGCCGCCAAAAGCCCACGGUCUAUUGAGCCAGAGAUGGCACUGGACGCUGCCGUGGCCGGUCAUCUGGAUCGGAGCCACCAACCCACGUCCGCAUAGAGGGGGCUGGUAGCAGCCCCGUUGAUGGGGAUUGGGCACUAUCUGCAGCUACAAGUGGCAUCGACCUGCAGCUGCAGGGAGCGUCGACUUGCAGCUGGAGGAGGUGUCGACCUAAAGCUCGCCACCCACGGCACUAUGACCUACUGCCACAACGGUCCACCACCUACAGCCGGCGCCGCAGCGCCUCGGCCGUUCAACUAUGCCACCUCAGGCCGUUCAACUAUGUCCCCCGCAAUCGUCGACUCCAUUUGCUUCUUUCCGCUGUACGUGGCCAGCUCCAUGAGCUACUCGCCUCUACUCUGUUUAGAAGAGCGUCGUGAGCUCGUCCAACUAUGGCUGCUUCUCUGCUGGUAUGUAUGCUUCUCUGAAGGUACUAUCUUAAGCUUGUACAGCUUAUCAGUAUAUGAAUGAAAAGUUAUUAAUCUGAAGUUCAGAGAUUAUAAAGAAAAGAAGACAUGGGAUCUAGGAUCUAGUGAUUUCUAGGUAACUUGCACAGGAAAUAAAGGGCUGGUUAUUUGUGGAACUUGAGCUACACAGAAUUGAGGUAUACUGCGUUGUUUCUUGGAUGGGUGUGUACGUUUACUGGAAAUUGAACCCGCGUUACAAAAAGUAGGUACCAGAAAUGAGGAAAAUGAUUUUGUUAGAGAAACUAUGCAAAGCAAACUUUCAUUCAUUUUCCUAAAAUGACAUGCCUUAAUUUAUCCAAUCUUUUUGUUUUGCAAUUGCAGUGUCAUGCCGUUAAAUAAUGCCAUGCAAUCAUCAGGUGAAAACCUGCAGGUGACAACUCCAGUUGUGGCCAUUUCUGCUCGGGCAGAUCCCACUCCUGUUGAGAAUAGCAGCACACAAAAGGCUCAAGUUGUCGAUUAGGUAGUAGAUGGCAAUCAGUGAACAGUUUGGUUUCUUCUCUUCUACAAAGAGUUUUUUUCCUCCAUCAAUACCGGUGGCCGCUCUAACUUUGUGAAGCUAGAGAAACAAGAAGACACAUGGGAAAAGGGUUAUGAGCUGAAGGCGCAUUAACUAGGCUUGCCCAUGGCGGUGUCUGAUACAGUAGUCUGUUAAUUUUCUGAUCGAGUUGAGCAGAGCAAUUUAAGACCAAUUAAUACCAUGCUGUAAAUUUGUUGCACAAACAAACUGAUGAACCAACAACGAAAUUAUAACUUGGGCAUAUGAAACAACCAAA
Long non-coding RNA from Aegilops tauschii subsp. strangulata, 1939 nucleotides. RefSeq lists it as uncharacterized. Lineage: Eukaryota; Viridiplantae; Streptophyta; Magnoliopsida; Poales; Poaceae. The record is from RefSeq and is a predicted model, not a curated record.